CCUACGGGAGGCAGCAGUGGGGAAUUUUGGACAAUGGGGGAAACCCUGAUCCAGCAAUGCCGCGUGUGCGAAGAAGGCCUUCGGGUUGUAAAGCACUUUUGUCAGGGAAAAAAUCCUUUGGGCUAAUACCCUAGGGGGAUGACGGUACCUGAAGAAUAAGCACCGGCUAACUACGUGCCAGCAGCCGCGGUAAUACGUAGGGUGCAAGCGUUAAUCGGAAUUACUGGGCGUAAAGCGUGCGCAGGCGGUUGUGUAAGACAGGUGUGAAAUCCCCGGGCUUAACCUGGGAAUUGCAUUUGUGACUGCACGACUAGAGUGUGUCAGAGGGGGGUGGAAUUCCACGUGUAGCAGUGAAAUGCGUAGAUAUGUGGAGGAACACCAAUGGCGAAGGCAGCCCCCUGGGAUAACACUGACGCUCAUGCACGAAAGCGUGGGGAGCAAACAGGAUUAGAUACCCUGGUAGUCCACGCCCUAAACGAUGUCAACUAGUUGUUGGGGAUUUACUUCCUUGGUAACGUAGCUAACGCGUGAAGUUGACCGCCUGGGGAGUACGGCCGCAAGGUUAAAACUCAAAGGAAUUGACGG
This 585-nucleotide ribosomal RNA is filed under the name uncultured Limnobacter sp. RNAcentral's name for it is "bacterial SSU rRNA". It matches the Rfam family "Bacterial small subunit ribosomal RNA", at positions 338 to 916 of the family's 1533-position model. Lineage: Bacteria; Pseudomonadati; Pseudomonadota; Betaproteobacteria; Burkholderiales; Burkholderiaceae. The record is from RNAcentral.